RNAcentral lists this transfer RNA (76 nucleotides) under Cricetulus griseus (Chinese hamster). It matches the Rfam family "tRNA". From Rfam's summary of the family: Transfer RNA (tRNA) molecules are approximately 80 nucleotides in length. Their secondary structure includes four short double-helical elements and three loops (D, anti-codon, and T loops). Further hydrogen bonds mediate the characteristic L-shaped molecular structure. tRNAs have two regions of fundamental functional importance: the anti-codon, which is responsible for specific mRNA codon recognition, and the 3' end, to which the tRNAs corresponding amino acid is attached (by aminoacyl-tRNA synthetases). tRNAs cope with the degeneracy of the genetic code in two manners: having more than one tRNA (with a specific anti-codon) for a particular amino acid; and 'wobble' base-pairing, i.e. permitting non-standard base-pairing at the 3rd anti-codon position. Lineage: Eukaryota; Metazoa; Chordata; Mammalia; Rodentia; Cricetidae. The record is from Rfam by way of RNAcentral.
UGGGGUGUAGCUCAGUGGUAGAGCACAUGCAAGCUUAGCCUAAGUGUGACCCUGGGUUCAAUCCCCAGCACCCCAA